Molecule: long non-coding RNA, 210 nt
Organism: Ochotona curzoniae (black-lipped pika)
Lineage: Eukaryota; Metazoa; Chordata; Mammalia; Lagomorpha; Ochotonidae
Exons: 3
Source: RefSeq, a predicted model, not a curated record
AAUCAUCUGUGAAUGAUGAUUCCAGACCAUACCAUCUAGUGUUUAUAUCUUAUUAAAUUGUUCAGAUGUUGGGGAAAUAAAUUUUGACUGUAUUGUCAUUCUUAAUUGAGAAGGAUUAUACUGGGCCCUGCACGAUAGCCUGGUGGCUAAAUCCUCACCUUGCAACCACCAGCAUCCCAAACGGCCUUUGAUUUGUGUCCUGGCUGCUUC